GAGUUUGACUCUGGCUCAGGACGAACGCUGGCGGCGCGCUUAACACAUGCAAGUCGUACGGGGUCCUUCGGGGCUCAGUGGCGAACGGGUGCGUAACACGUGGGCGAUCUGCCGAGGCGCGGGGGACAACCCGGGGAAACCCGGGCUAAUACCGCAUGUGCUGCAUGGGCUUCAUGGCCUGUGCAGGAAACCCGCGAUCAAGCGGGGUGCUUCGAGGGGCCCGCGGCGUAUCAGGUAGUUGGUGAGGUAACGGCUCACCAAGCCGACGACGCGUAGCUGGUCUGAGAGGACGACCGGCCACAUUGGGACUGAGAUACGGCCCAGACUCCUACGGGAGGCAGCAGUGGGGAAUCUUGCGCAAUGGACGAAAGUCUGACGCAGCGACGCCGCGUGCGGGAGGAAGCCCUUCGGGGUGUAAACCGCUGUCACCGGGGAAGAAUGCCCAGGGGAGGAAAUGCCCGUGGAGUGACGGUACCCGGGGAGGAAGCACCGGCUAACUCUGUGCCAGCAGCCGCGGUAAUACAGAGGGUGCGAGCGUUGUUCGGAAUUACUGGGCGUAAAGCGCGCGCAGGCGGCCUUUUAAGUCUCACCGUUCAAGCCCGGGGCUCAACCCCGGUCCGCGGGGGAUACUGGGAGGCUAGGGACAUGUAGGGGCGAGCGGAAUUCCGGGUGUAGCGGUGGAAUGCGUAGAGAUCCGGAAGAACACCGGGGGCGAAGGCGGCUCGCUGGGCAUGGUCCGACGCUGAGGCGCGAAAGCGUGGGGAGCGAACAGGAUUAGAUACCCUGGUAGUCCACGCCGUAAACGAUGGGCACUGGGCGCGGGGGGGAUCGGCCCUCUCCGUGCCGUAGCUAACGCGAUAAGUGCCCCGCCUGGGGAGUACGGCCGCAAGGCUGAAACUCAAAGGAAUUGACGGGGGCCCGCACAAGCGGUGGAGCAUGUGGUUUAAUUCGAAGCAACGCGAAGAACCUUACCUGGGCUUGACAUGCUAGAGAAAGCUCCGUGAAAGCGGAGCCCCUCUUCGGAGCUCUAGCACAGGUGCUGCAUGGCUGUCGUCAGCUCGUGUCGUGAGAUGUUGGGUUAAGUCCCGCAACGAGCGCAACCC
RNAcentral lists this ribosomal RNA (1103 nucleotides) under uncultured bacterium. RNAcentral describes it as "bacterial SSU rRNA". It matches the Rfam family "Bacterial small subunit ribosomal RNA", at positions 9 to 1104 of the family's 1533-position model. The record is from RNAcentral.